AUCUGGGACUACAGUGCAUGCCACCAUGCCUGGCUAAUUUUUUGUGUUUUAAUAGGGACAGGAUUUCACCAUGUUGGCCAGGAUGGUCUCGACCUGUUGACCUCGUGAUCCGCCCGCCUCGACCUCGGAAGAGUGUUUUUUUUUUAUGCAGCUAAAAUACACAGAAUGAAACAAUGGUUACCGCUGUUGGUGGGGGGAAGAAGAGGAAAUGGGGGGAUGUAGGUCAAGGAUACAAAAUAGCAGAUAUGUGGGAUGAACAAGUUUAGAGAAACAGGGGACCAAAGUUAGUAAAAUUGUAUUAGAGAUUUUUGUUAAAUAGUAGAUUUUAGCAGCUCUUGUUAAAAAAUAAUUAUGUGAAAUGAUAGCUAUGUUAAUCUGCUUCACCAUUUUGCUAUCUAUAUUCCAUAGCAUGCUGUAAACCUCAAAUAUGCACAGUGAAAUUUAGUUUAAAAAAAAUUAGAGUGAAAUAAAAUGUGUAAGUUCUUUACAGUCUUAUAAGUCUUAUGAGUAUAGGUGUUAACUUUGAAAUCUUAUCAGAAAAAGUAUAUGACAUUUGAUAGAUUAUACAUUUCAAUUUUUAUGGAGCAUAUUUUAUUUAAUUUAUUGAAUUUGAAGCAGUUUGGAUUCUUUUCAUCCUUCACCUUCAGCAUGUACCAGAAAUUCCCAGACAUAAAGGAGCUUUGUGUUCUUACAUAAAUUAUACUAAUCUAAAACCACAUUUAAAAAGCAGUUUUACCUAUAAGAAAUUAUGGAAGUCAUUACAGUGUGUUACUGUCCUAAACCUAUGGUCAUGUACCUUUUUAUGUGCCUCAGAUGCAUGUUGGAGGUGGUGGAAGGCAGAUUAGUAGAGAACUUGGAAAGAAGGGAAGGAUCAUUUGCAUUGGACAGUAGUGUUCCACAGUAGAAAUUGAUGUCUGGGAGAAUGCCCCUCAAGCUUUCCCCUUUUCACUUUAAGAAGCUUUGCUUCCUCUCACUUUCAUAGCAGAUCUAUAUUAGAUAAAACAUUAGUGGUUAUUAUAACAAAAAUAAACUUACAGUUGGAUGAUCACUAGUAUCCGAGACAGUGGAAAUGACAUGAGUGAAGAAAGGCUGCUUCAGACCAUUAUUAACUGGUGACUUGAUGUUUUUCUUUUUGCUUGCUGAUGGUGAUCCUUGUCCCUAUUUCAGACCAUGCUUUUCCCAUCAGUGAUGCUCUUAUACUAAUAAACAUAUUCCAAGGGCAGACAGGUACACUAAAUGGGCUUAUUCUUAUCUUUCAAGACCAAGAUUAAAACUAUCCGAAUGAGUCUUCACUGAUUACUAAAACCAGAUGGCCAGUCAGCAUCUGAAUUUCUAAAUCAUUCUGUAUUAUUCAUGAGACAGCACAUUCCCUUAAAUAUUAAUGUUUGGGUCUGUAACUCUUUUUCACUCCUCUUUCCUCAUACCUAUGGGUACAUACUCUUAAUAUCAUGUUUUUAAACUGCACUGGGUAAUGGGUGGUGUGGAGGAUGCAAUGGAGUGAUAUCGGGCCACCCAGACCCGCUUAAAGCAGAGCCAGUGUGUUACAGGAUUAAAAUACUUACUGAUAACUCUUUUUUUUUUUGACAUGGAGUCUCGCUCUGUCACUCACCCAGACUGGAGUGCAGUAGUGUGAUCUCCGCUCACUGCUGCAACCUCUGCCUCCUGGGUUCAAGCAAUUCUUGUGCCUCAGCCUCCCAAGUAGCUGGGACUACAGGUAUGUGCUACCAUACCUGGCUAAUUUUGUAUUUUUAGAAGUGACAGGUUUUGCCACGUUGGUCACGCUAGUCUCAAACUCCUGACCUCAAGUGAUCCCCCACCCUCACCUCCCAGAGUACUGGGAUUACAGAUGUGAGCUACUAUGCCCAGCCUUUAAUGACUCUUAAAUUCCCUGAAUGCAUCUGUGUAUCGUUACCCCUACCCCCACCCCUGGGAUGCCUAGCAAAGUUCCUUGCUCAUCAUUUUUGAAAAUAUCAUACAUUAUUGGAUUUUUUGUUUUCAAACAUUUUAAUUAAUCAUUCACAUGACAUCUUAGCUGGAAGUGAAAUGUUCCAUCUAUGCUCCUCUGUACUGCUACCUCCCUAUUCUGGCCUCUACUUUUCACUGGCCUCUUAGGAUCUACAGAGUUGAUUGAAAUUGAGUGAUCUGCUAAGGUUAAUCUGACUUUUCUGGUAUUCUGAGGUUAUAAAUGACAGGUUUUAGGCUUGGACUCCUAAGAUUGUUCCCUGCCACAGGAGAUAGCCUGGUAUGAAAUUGGACUGGUAUAUUUUCUUGCAUGUGUAUUCCUGUUUUUCUGAUUCAAUUCUUUUCCCUUUUUAGAAGCCACUGACUCUUUAAAAAGCCUGCAAUCUUUCUGUCAUGUAGCUAGUUUUUUCUUUCUUUUUUUUUUUUUUUUUUUUUAAGCUGCCCUAUUAGCCGUUCUAUAGUAGCUGUGACUACCCUUUGAGGACGGGGGGAGAAAUGAAAAAUGUUGACGCAGCUAAUACGGGAUUGUUCUUUAAGGGGUCUCUUAGUCACAGUACUGUGACUGUAUUAUAUGUGAUCUGAAGAGAAUCUUAGAAUAUUUCCACCAGAAAGGUUCUUGGAAAUAAACUAGUUCUCUUUAUAAAAGUGGAAUCCCAGGUCACCAUAAAUGACUUGUCUAGAUUCAUGUAACUUGUCAGUGGCAGCCAGGAACCUGUCAUGCUCAGCAUAGAAAUCAGACUAUCAAGUACUAUGACAGUUAAGGAGGAAUAUUCUGCUAUUUGGAACCAUAUACAACUUUCUACAGCCCAGUCAAGAUGUAGGAAAUUACUUCUUACUUGGGAGAAAGGCACCAGUGAGCAGUGUUACAAAGCUUAAUUGGAGUGAUUCUUGGUAAGAAGCGAUAUGGUACUUGUAGAGUACACAAAACCUAAAAUUGCAGGAGGAAAAUCUUGUUUCUUAGUUAAGUGUAGGUGUAAAGAGUACCUUUUAACAUCAGAAAUCAAAAGGAAAUUGAGUAUUUCAGAGGCCCAUUGGGACUUUUGGAGUUCAGGGCAGGCAAAGAAAAUCUUUAGAAAAGAUUUUAAGCAGCCUAAUUUUUAGGUGCUUUGCCACAUUUUCUUCUGCUAGUUCAUCUUUACACGUCAUUAGAUAGGCUUCUGGAGAAUAGAGUGUGUAAAUUUAAGUAAUAAAGAUGAAUCAUUUAGCAAUACAGUUGCUCUUAGGUACAAUUAUGUGAUGGAUUAUGGGGGUGGGAUGGAAUAGGGGAAUUUGUGGCCUAAUAGUUAGUUCCCUUUUGCAUGGGGACUGGGACAGUAAUGCUUCUACAUAUGUGUUAGGCCUUAAUAGUUUUCCAAUUGCUUCAAGACAGGUUAGCUAAUUGGAUCUUCACAGAAACUCUAUGAGGUAAGCAGGGUAGGAAGAAGGCAGAUUAUUGGUUUAUAGGUGAAGACUCUGAGGUUGGAUUAUUUGCCAAGAUCACAUGGUUAAUAAGGGCAUAUCCUGGGCCAGAGCCUAAAUCCCUUCACUCCCAGCUUUCUAAGUACUGAUAGAUGUUUGCUGAUGAUGGUGUGAAGUUGUAUGAUUUAGUGUUUUUUUGAGACAUACAAAUCCCUGUAGUAAAAUUCUUUCCACUACUAUGAAAGAAGCUCAAAAAGCUUAAAAUAGUCACUUACUGCUUCCAAAAGUACCACAGAAAACCAGGAAUCUGUAUUCAUUGCCUAGCCACUUGAUUCUAUGGCAAAGAUUUUGAAACUCUGGGAAAAGCUCUGUGUCAUCUUGUUUUAUGUGUCAUGACUGUUAAAAUGCUAGAGAAAAUAGCAAAAGGCCAGUUAAAUCUGUGUCUGCUCAAAUGAGACACGGGGCAAGAGUGUGGAAAAUCCAGAACAAGAUUCCUUGAGAGAUCAUCUAGACCCUGUUCUUUCUAGUCACAGGUAUAGUUGUGAUUAAUAUGACAUUAAUCUUUUGCACAAUUUCAUUCUUGGAUUCAGCCAUCUGCUUUAACACCUCUGUUUUGUAACCUAUAAUAAUUUUAUGAUGUUUGUUUUGAGGUUAUGAUUCUUAGCUUAAGAAUAGAUUUAAUUUUUAAACCUUGGAUAAAACUAAUUUUCAUUCUUCUGGUUCAAUUGUGGAACAAAUUCAGGUUAAGUUGCCUUCCAGCUCUUUUAUCUAAAGUAGUAUUAGUAGUAUUACAGUGCUAAGUGAAAAAUAGACAUUAGAAUUUCACCAUACUAAACAAUCUCCCAAGAGUAAUAUGAGGAGGGAAAGUGUUCCUUUUAAAAAUCAUGCUUCUAGGCUGAGCAUGGUAGUUCAUGCCUGUAAUCUCAGCACUUUGGGAGGCCAAAGCAGGACAAUUGCUUGAGCCCAUGAGUUUGAGGUUACAGUGAGCUGUGAUCUCAUUACCUGCUACAGUACUCAAAGUUCAGAUGGUCAUUCAUUGGAGCAUGUGAUAUUUUGGAGUAUAGACCUUAAGUGAUUAUGGCAUAUCAAAAUAAUGUGAUCUUAUAUUUCUUUAUUUUUUAUUGCAUAUUUCAUUAAAUACACUUCUGUUAACAGCCUGCUAUAUAUAUCAGGCAUUCUGAUAAGUGUUAGAAGUACAAAAAAAGAAUAAAGCAAAAAUAGUUCUGCCCUCACAAACGAGUAAAUAAAUGAUUCCUCUCUAGUGUGAUUAGUACUGAUAGAAGUAUGCCAUUUUGUGUGUACAUCAUUACUACUUUCUUUCUUAAGAUUAGGCUUUUUUAGUUAGGUUCUUGAAGUUAUGGACCUUCUAGAUGGAAAAUACAUGUCAUAUAUGCCAUCUAUCCUCCUCUAUGGCCAAUAUCCAUGAUCUCUCAUAACAUGAUGUCCUGAUUAAUUUAGCCUCAGAGUUCUUGAAACAGCAUUAUCAGUCCUGAUAGCUCUUGUCAAACAAUUGAAAUUGGCGUUGUUAUUAUUAGCCUAUUUUCUAUCCUCUGGUACCUAUUUGGGUUAUAAGCUUAUAACUUUUAAAUUAUAAGUUUUGGUAUCAAAAGGAAUAUUUUUUGGGUGGUUUUGCUCUGUCACCCAGGCUGGAGUGCAGUGACAUGAUCUUAGCUCACUGCAGCCUCUAACUCCUGGACUCAAGCAAUUCUCCCACCUUAACUUCCCGGGUAGCUAGGACUACAGGUAAGCACAACCAUGCCUGGCUAAUUUUUGUGUUGUUAGUAGAGAUGGGUCUUGCUAUGUUGACUAUGCUGGUCUUGAACUCUUGGCCUCAAGCAGUUCUCCCUCCUUGGCUUCCCAAAUUAAUGGGAUUACAGGUGUGAGCCACCAUACCUGGCCGGGUUUAUUCAGUUUAAGUUGUUGGCAGACCAGUGCCUGACAGCAGGUUUUUCUCUAGAUACCCUGGGUUGGGGUACUGUAAACAGAGACUGGCUGGGUGUGGUGUCUCAUGCCUGUAAUCCCAGCACUUUGGGAGGCUUAGGUGGGAGGAUUGCUUGAAGCCAGGAGUUGGAGACCAGCCUGGGCAACAUGACAAGAUUCUAUUUCUACAAAAAAUAAAAUUAGCCAGGCCUAGUGGCAUGUGACUGUAGCCCCAGCUACUCAGGAAGAUGAGGUGGGAGGAUUGGUUGAGCCCAGGAGUUGAAGGCUGCGGUGAGCUAUGAUCACACCACUGCACUCCAGCCUGGGUGAACUCAGCUACUGGUGGUUAUGUGUAAUUUGGUUAUAACCUACUUACACAUUAUGGCCAAGGAACUGUAAGUAUCAGGUUCCUCCCAAAAGUACAUUUUAUUUACUUUUGAAGACUUUUUCUCCAGGUUUUGGCAUUAAUUUUGACCAAAUUUUACCUAAAGGAAAGACAGGAUCAGUAGAGAACAAGCUUGUAAAAUUUGCUGAGUGUCUUCACUGUGCUAAGAAUGAACUUUUUUUUUUUUUUUUUGAAACGGAGUUCUUACUCUAUUGCCUAGGCUGGAGUGCAGUGGUAAUAUCUUGGCUCACUGCAACCUCCGCCUCCCAGGUUCAAGUGAUUAUUCUGCCUCAGCCUCCAAGUAGCUAGGAUUACAGGUUCAUGCCACCAUGCCCAGCUAAUUUUUACAUUUUUAGUAGAGACAGGGUUUCAUCAUGUUGGCCAGGCUGAUCUCAAACUCCUGAACUCAAGUAAUCCACCCACCUCAGCCUUCCAAAGUGCUGGUAUUAUAGGUGUGAGCCAUUGCACCCGGCAUUAUGCCUCCAUUUUGAUCACAGCCCAACACAAGGUCUUGUGUGGAAUUUUCUACUGUGGUGUCAUGUGGGUACUCAAAAAGUUUCAGAUUUUGGAGCAUUUUGGAUUAAAGAAUGCUCAGCAUGUGGUGGUUCAUAACUCUGGCUGCUCAUUAGAUCACCUGUGAGGCUUUGGAAAAAACAGACCAAAACAAACAAAAACCCAACCACCAAUAUCUAGUUCCUUUGCCUAGAGAGUCUGUCUGAGUAUGUAGUCUAGGUAUCUGUAUUUUACAUUAAGAGACCUCGCAUACUGGUGAAACUUAACUUGUCACACAUUAGUGAUUCCAGAGUAUAGCCAGGAUUGUGUAAAAGCAUCUCCUAACAGAGUAUCUGACAAGACUUCAUGGAGAGUGAUGUUUAAAUGGUGAGAGGAAGAUGACCAGUAGAUUGCCCUGAGGGGAAGGAGGCAUUCUAGCCAUGUAGGACAGCGUGGAAGAAGUCUCUGAGCUGGAAACAAAGCUGUCAGGUGAAGGGCGUUUAAAGCAGACGGAGGGAGGGUGAUGAGGAAGAUAUGGAAGGAGGGGUAAUCUGGGGCACCCUAUUAAAGACCUGGAAGCAGAGGUAAGGUAAGGCUCUUGGAAUUAAUUUCUAGGACACUUGGACACUACUAUAGGACUUAAUCUCCUAAGAGCAGUAAUAGGAGUUAGUAAGUGAUUAGUGAUAGAUUAGAAGGAGAGUAGUAUUGAAAAUGAGAGAUAGCAUGGAUAAGAUUGCAUCAGUCUAGAAGUGUGAGCAAUAAUUAAGGAACAGAUGAUAUGCAGAACACACUGCAAGAAGAGUUGAUGUUAUAUUGCAAUAUAUCACUUGUGUUGAAUAAAGGGCAGAUGAGUUAAAAGGAAAGGACUUAACAUUUAGAAAGUCUUAGUGUAGGUUUUAAAAUCUCUUCAGUUUUAUUUAAUCAACCUGACCCUAUUCAAGAUACAGUGUAGAGGACUGAGAGCCUAUGAAGGUAAUAUCAAAGAGAGCAUCCAACUCAGGCUGCAUAUAGUUUUUGCCACUAAUAACCUAAAAGUAAGUGAGUUUCAGGUAUAAAUCACUUCCAUUAAAUGUUUACCUGCAGUGGGAAUUUACUUAAGCUAUAACUAAAUACUUUGCCUUCUUAAUACUGAGCUGUAGUGUGUUACCCAAGACUUUCUCUGAAUUCUUGUAACGGAAUGAGAAGGAAAAGCAGCCACAAAGAAUAUGGCUUCAGCUUUUUAAGGGAUAGGAGGGCUUUAUUUCUUGAAUGCAGCUGCACUUUUUCACUUUUUCUUUGCUAUUUUAGCCUAUUUUUUUCUGUCCUGGCAGUUGCCUUCUCUUUUUCAUCCUUAGGAUUCUAAGCACCAUUUCAGUAUUCAGAAUCUCUUAACUGUGGUUUGCAAAAAAAGAGGUAAGCAAGGGAUAAAUAGGCACAGCACAGAGGCAGUGAAAUUAUACGUUAUGAUACUAUAAAGGUGGAUACAUGUUGUGAUACAUAUGCCAAAAUUUAUAGAAGGUGCAAUACCAAGAGUCAACUCUAAUGUAAACUAGGGACUUUGGAUGAUAAUGGUGUGUCAAAUUAGGUUCAUCGAUUGUAAAAAGUGUACCUGGUGUGGGGCAUUGGUAGUGGGGGAGGCUAUGUAUAUGUGGGGUCAAGGAUUAUAUGGGAAAUCUCUCUACCUUCCACUCACUUUUUCUGUGAACCUAAAAAAGAUUGGGGAGAGAGUAUGCAAACUUUAGGAGUUAAAAGUCAAAACCACUCUUGAAAUAAUGGACCAAUUAAUGACAAAAAAAUUAUAUUUGAUGAAUGAGGAUCAAUCAUAGGUGUACAAUUAAAAUAAAAUUUUGCUGUUCAUUUUUGUCAUGCAUAGUGAAUUGGCCAAUGUAAGAAGAAAAAAAAGUUUAAUGAGCUAUAGUAUUGUAAAAAGGAUUCACAUAUGUAUGGCAACUUUAGCCCUUCCCUUUUUUUUACAUGGAUAUAUUUGAGUUUAUAGUUCAAAUGCUGUGACAGAUGGUCAAGCAAUGUUUCUAGCAGUCUCAGCCUUGAGAUCAGCUGUUGAAUUUAACUACAGGUUUACCUGUCUAGUUGGGAGGAUUACUAGGUGGCCAGGAAUUGAGAUAAUCCUGGUCAACAUAGCAGCACCCCAUCUCUUUAAAAAAGAAAAGUGUGUUGGGGGUGGAAACAGCAUUAAAUUUUUUUUUUCCCCUGGUAGUAUGUUUAAUUGUGUAAUUUACUAUGGUCUUCUAAACAGAAAUGGAUAUAGUGAUUACCUGUAAGAUUUUUAUGAAAUGAGAACAAAUUAGGGGCCCUAAUUAGUAGGUAAAUCUUAGAAUUUAACCACAUAAACUUUUCAUGAAAUACUACUGUUGGUCAAAACUGCUUAUAUUGUUAUAAUGAGGAAGUUGAAUUGUCCAAGGUCAUACAUAAAUAAGUAGCAAAUCUGAGAUUAGGACAUAGAUUGUCUGCCUCCAAAAUCCUCUAGACACUAAUUCAUUGUAGAGUUUUUUGUAUACUAUUAAUGUUCCUGGCAUUGGAAGUCAAAUAAUUAAUUACAUAAUGCUUUUCCUUUCUAGGGUAUAGUUUUAUUAAUCAGGUGUUUUUAUUAAUCCAACUAGUAUUUGCUAUAUGGCCAUCAUAUGUCCCUUCAUCUGAUUUCUUUGAAGAAUUAGAUGAAGGGACUUUUCUCUAGAAGAAGUUAGUCAGUUAAAACAAAAUAAUAAGUAGUUAUUGCACUCAAUACAAAUGCUCUUUGGCUCUGUAAUUUCUUUUGAGAAAGACAUUCUAGUUUUCUCCAGUCUCUUGCUGUUGCCUAAUCCUAGCCUCCCACAGUGCUGGGAUUAUAGGCGUGAGCCACUGUGCCAGCCAUGAAUUUAUUUUAUAAGCCUAUUGCUUGAAAUUGUGUUGGGAUUAUAUAUGGAUUGUGUGUUUAUUUUUAAAAUUAUUGCUGAUACCGAGAGUUGACUAUAACUUGGCCCUAAGUAUAUAGCAAGUGCUUUCUUUAUAUGCUCUUUGGUUGCAGUUUUAUUGAGAGUGAUAACAUUGCUUUUAAUGUUACAUGCUUUCUUGGGUUUUUAUUAAGAACAAUUCCUUAAUUAAAAAUAAGUAGAACUUUUUUUCCUUCUGUUCCUCAGGUUUUUCCUUUUUAAUCUUUACGGGUGCUUCUUUCUCCAUUCCCUUUAAGUAUUGAUGUUCCUCAGGGCUUGAUCCUACUCCUGCAGUAUUUCUCACAUAGUAUUCUCUUUCUGGUAAACUAAAUGCUUCUUUUUAGCCCAUGUUGGCUACAGAUAUCUACUGUUUGUAUGUGUCAUGGAUUACUGAAUAUCUCCUCUUGGAUGUCUUAUAAACACUCAAAUUCAGCAUGAUCAUAGCUCACUGCAGCCUUACCUCCCAGGCCCAAGUGAUUCUCCUACCUCAGAUUCCUCAGUAGCUAGGACCACAGGUACAUGCCACCUUGCCUGGCUACUUUUUUUUUUAGGGGGGUUUGGGGUUGGGGAGAAACAAGAUCUCACUAUGUUAUCCAGGCUGGUGAAACUCCUGGGCUCAAGUGAUCCUCCGGCCUCAGCCUCUCAAAGUGCUCAGAUGACAGGCAUAACCCACCGUGCUCAGUCAAUAUUUAUCUUUUUAUUGUUGAGGUAUAAAAAUUAUGGGGCCAGACACGGUGGCUCACACUUGUAGUCCCAGCACUUUGGGAGGCGAAGGCGGGUGGAUCAAGAGGUCAGGAGUUCAAGAUCAGCCUAGCCAACAUGGUGAAACUUGGUCUCUACAAGUACAAAAAAUUAGCUGGGCGUGGUGGCGGGCGCCUAUAAGCCCAUCUACUUGGGAGACAGAGGCAGGAGAAUUGCUUAAACCUGUGGGAGGUAGAGGUUGCAGUGAGCCGCACUGCACUCCAGCCUGGGCAACAGAGCGAGACUCUUGUCUCAAAAAAAAAAAAAAGUUCUGGAUACUACAGCCUUAUCUGAUACAUGCUUUACAGAUUUUUUUUUCUCAUUCUGGAGGUUAUAUUUUCCCUUUAUUGAUAGUAUCCUUUGAAGCACAAAAAGUUUUAAUUUUGAUAGUUAUCUAUUUUUUUCUUUUUUUGCUUUUGCUUUUGUUACAUCUAAGAAAACAUUGUCUAAUUCAAGAUGAGACCUACCUUUAUGUCCUACCACUCAUGUAGGGACCUAAAAUGUUUAUGUUCGACCUUUUAACAGAAAACAAGUAAGUAUUUGUCAGCAAAUACACUGCAAUUCUUUGGUGAAGAAUGAACUAGACCUUGAAAUACCUUGCAACUCUAGUCUCGAAGUCAUCACUUUGUUACCAGAGUUGAAGGGUGGAAGAAAGUUGCCUGUUAUCUGUAUAAUUACACAGAUAUGUGCAUAUGUGGUGUAAUGUAUCAGUAUUUAUAGAGACCGUAGUAAGCACAGCACAAAACCAGGCAUAAAGAGAUACGUGGGAAAUAGAGUUUGAAUUUGAAUAUGGUAAAGAUUGUUUUAUGAUUUUAGGGUUUUUUCCAUAUGCAUAUCUUUAAUGUUACUUUAAAAUAGAUAAGUGGAAUGUGAUUCAAUUUAGUAAAAAAAAAAAACAGCUUUAUUAAAACAUCUGAGAAAAAUAGAAAAUAAAUGUAUUAGAAAAGGUUUUUAACAAGGAGAAUGUUAAAAACAUAUAAAAUUGGCCAGAUGCAACAGCUCACACCUGUAAUCUCAGCAUUUUGGAAGCCUGAGGUGGGCGGAUCACGAGGUCAGGAGUUCGAGACCAGCCUGAGAAACAUGGUGAAACCCUGUCUCUACUAAAAAUAAAAAAAUUAGCUGAGUGUGGUGGCAGGAGCCUGUUUAAGCCCAGCUACUCGGGAGGCUUAGGCAGGAGAAUUGCUUGAGCCUGGGAGGUGGAGGUUGCAGUGAGUGGAGAUUGUGCCACUGCACUCUAGCCUGGGUGACAGAGCAAGACUCUGUCUCAAAAAAAAAAAAAAAAAAAAAAAAAAAACAAAAUUUUAAAUUUAUACAUACUGACGUAAAUACUGAUGAGUUGAUAUGCUAGCUAGAGUUCAUUUCAAAAUAAUCCAGUUGUGGUGAUAGAAGUGGCAGUAGGAUUGACCAUCUGUUGAAAAUUAGUGAAGCUGAAUGUAGGGGGUUAUCAUCUAUUGUGCAAGUUUGCAGUUUUUCCUAAUGCUUUAAAUUUUUUUGCUGGGUACAGUGGCUAGUGCCUAUAAUCCCAUCACUUUGGGAGGUCAAGGUGGGUGGAUCGCCUGAGCCCAGGAGUUUGAGACCAGCCUGGGCAACACGGCAAAACCUCAUCUCUACAAAAAAAUACCUUGCAAAAAUUAGCCAAGCAUGGUGGUAUGUACCUGUGGUCCUAGCUACCCUAGUGGCUAAAGUGGGAGGAUCACUUGAGCCCCAGAGGUUGAAGCUGCAGUGAGCUGUGUUUAUGCAGUGUGCUCCAGCCUGGGUGAUAGAGGGAGACCGUGUCUCAAAUAAAUAAAUAAAUAUUUGUAAAUGAAAAUUCUUCUUCAAAAUGCCUCUGCACACAAUCCCAUUUGCAAUAGCCACAGAAAGAAUAAAAUACCUAGGAAUAUAGCUAACCAAGGAGGUGAAAGAGCUCUACAAUGAGAAUUACAAAACUGCUGAAAUAAAUCAGAGAUGAUACAAACAAAUGGAAAUCAUUGCCAGGCACGGUAGUGCGUGCCUAUAGUCCCAGCUACUCAGGAGGCUGAGGAGGGAGGAUGGCUUAAGACCAAGAGUUCUGGGCUGUAGUACGCUAUGCCAGUAGGGUGUCUACACUAAGUUGGGCAUCAAUAUGGUGACCUCCCGGGAGCAGGGGACCACCUAAGGAGGGGUGAACUGGCCCAGGUCAGAAACGGCCCAGGUAAAAACUCCCGUGCUGAUCAGUAGUGGGAUUGCACCUGUGAAUAGCCACUGCACUCCAGCCUGAGCAACAUAGGGAGACCCCGUCUUAAAAAAAUAAUAGGAAGAUAUUCCAUGACCAUGGAUAGGAAGAAUCAGUGUUGUUAAAAUGGCCAUACUGCCCAAAGCAAUUUACAGAUUGAGUGCUAUUCCUAUCAAACUACCAAUGACAUUCUUCACAGAAUCAGAAAAGUCUCUUCUAAAAUGCAUAUGAACCAAAAAAGAGCCUAAUAGCCAAAACAAUCCUAAGCAAAAAUAACAAGGUAUCAUACUACCCCAUUUCAAACGGUACUGCAAAGCUGCAUUACAAAACAACACGGUACUGAUGUAAAAACAGACACAUAGACCAAUGAAAAAGAAUCAAGAACCCAGAAAUAAAGCAACACACCUACAACCAUCUGAUCUUCAGCAAAGUCAAUAAUAACAAGCAAUGGGCAAAGGACUCCUUAUUCAGUAAAUGGUGCUGGGGAACUGGGUACCCAGAUUGAAACUGGACCCCUUCCUUUCAGCAUACAGAAAAACUAACCCAAAUUGGAUUAAAGACUUAAAUCUAAGACCCCAAACUAUAAAAGCCCUGGAAGAAAACCUAGGAAGUAGCAUUCUGAGCAUCAGAUACCUUAUCAAAGAAUGUAUGCCCAAGUCUCCAGAACAAAACAAAAAAUGGCAAAUAGGAGCUAAUUAAAGAGCUUCUGCACAGCAAAAGAAGCUAUCAGCAGAGUAAACAGACAACCUGUAGAAUGGGAGAAAAUAUUCACAAACUAUGCAUAUGACAAAGAUCUCAUUUUCAGAAUCUAUAAGAAAAAAUUCAAGCAAAAAGCAAAAGUUUUAUUAAAAAGAGGGCACACUUAAUUUCUUAAGUUGCCUGCUUGUUCCUCUUCCAAGUUGUACUUUCCUUUCUUUGCCCUUGUAAAGCUUUUCUUUCUUUUUUUCUUUUUUUUUUUUUUUUGAGACCGACUCUUGCUCUGUCACCCAGCCUCGAGUGCAGUGGCGUGAUCUCAGCUCACUGCAACCUCACCUCCUGGGUUGAAGUGAUUCUUCUGCUUUGGCCUCCUGAGUAGCUGGGAUCACAGGUGCCUGCCACUGUGCCUGGCUAAUUUUUGUAUUUAUAGUAGAGAUGGGGUUUUUGCUGUGUGGCCAGGCUGGUCUCAAACUCCUGAUCUCAGGUGAACCACCUACCUUGGCCUCCCAAAGUGCUGAAAUUGCAGGCGUGAGCCACCAUGCCCAGCCAUAAAGCUUUUAAACUUUAAUUCCUGCUCAGAAAGAAAACAAAAAUGGGUAAAGUACAUGAACAGAUACUUCUCAAAAGAAGACAUACAUGUGGCAACAAAUAUAUGAAAGAAUGUUCAACAUCACUAAUCAUUUGAGAAAUGUAAGUCAAAACUACAACAAGGCUGGGUGCGGUGGCUCACACGCAAAUUCUGUAUUUUGGUUAGUGGAAACACCACUAACCAAUAUCCCCCUAUUCUGUAUUUUGGUUAGUGGAAACACCAUAUAUCUGGUUUCUCAAAUAGAAAUCUUACUGAUAUUGCCAUCUUCCCUCAUUCCUUGAAGAUGUUUGCUCCUGGCUCACCCACACUCUCAGCAAAUGACCUUGCAUGUCAUUUUACCACCAAGAAAUGCAAGCAACCAGAAAAGACCUACAAGUCUACCAUGUCUACCCAGCACUUUGGAAGGCUGAGGCAGGCAGAUUAUUUGAGCUCAGGAGUUUGAGACCAGCCUGGGCAACAUGGUGAAACCCCCUCUACAAAAAUGUGCCAAAAAUUAGCAGGGCAUGGUGGCACUGUGCUUCUAGCUACUCAGUAGGCUGAGGUAGGAGGAUUGCUUGAGCCAGGGAGGCAGAGAUUGCAGUGAGCCGAGAUCUAAACACUGCCUCAAAGAAAAAAAAACGAAAACCACUUGACCACUCACUUUUAGGCAUUGCUUCUAUUUUACUUGAUCUGUUAGCAGCAUUUGACAAAGUUACUUCACUCCCUUUUGUUUGAAAUAACUUAAUACCUUCACUUAGCUUAUAUGACUACUCCUCUGAUUUUUCUUCUUUUUCUCUGUUAACUUCUUGAUCUCCUCUGCUGGUACCUCAUUUCCCUUACUUCUCUACAGAACUUUAAAGAUCAGGACUUCUACUCUCAUUGUCUUGGUGGUCACAUCCACUUUGAUCAUCUUAAAAAUACUGUCUAUAUUGGUGUUUUACAAACUUUUUUUUUUUUAUUAAUGCUCUGUGCCUUUUGACUUCUUUAUUGCCUAAUCACCCCAUCCCAAUACAAAUUUCUGUACAUCUAUUUAUAGGUUGUGGCCCAUUAUAAUAUCUAAGAUCUCCCCUUCCAAAGAGCCAAUUUUUACCACCUUGGGGAUAUCACCCCCUGAGAAUGCAUGAUUUGUUUUGACAAUCCCAAGCUUUUUUGUUCAACUUUGACCAUCUCCAGUGUAUUAGACAGCCUACUUCGUAUCUCAAACUUCAUACUUAAAAAACCAAACUCAAUCUGACUUUAGCCUUUCUUGCCACACAGAGCUUCAAUGAUCUCAUUCUUCUUUAUGUACCUUUUGCUCUAGCAGCACUGAAUUUUAAAUAUACAUUUUACCCUACUGGUAAAAGGGCUUAGAGGAGUGAUCAUUUAUUCUCCCAACCCAAAUUGGCCAGGUUUUGAAAGUAGAAAUUUCCAUGACUCUGGGCCACUACCAUCAUAGGCUUCCCAUAAGUAGAGUGGAGUAGGAGUUGGGAUGACAGAGUCCUGGGGGGAAUAGUAACAUUGCACUGACAGUUGAAAAACAUUCCACAAGAUGAUCCCUGUGUCCCUUUAGGAUAUAUGCAUAAGAGAAGGUGGUAUCUACAUGUAGCUGUGAAAAGUUCACAGAAUAGCACAGCUGUAUUGGUAUGGAAUUCCCUUUUGGGUAAAUAAAAAUUUAAGCCAGGGAGCAAUUAGAUAGCAUUGCUUGGUAUAUUCAGGAGAACAUCUGGGAAAGACAGUUCUUCAGAAUAUUGAACUAUUAGCAACAUGUUGCUGCAACAGCAUCACUGUAAAAGUCUUUGGUAUUCUAAACAGGAAAUCUUUUAUACUUUAACACAUGAGUAAAGAUACAUUUGGUAUAUUCUGUCACCCAUGGGAAUGUAGAUAUGAAGAAUAGCCUAUUAAGGCUCAUAGGUUCUGAGAUUGUUAGUUUGCUUGUUAAUAAACUUCAUGAAAUGUUAUUUCUAGUACUGUGGGGUUUUCUUGUUACAUUUUUACUGUUUCAGCUAGAAUCAUAAUCAUGUUACAUUGUGAAUUUAGAAUUUUGGUUUUUAUGUUCUCUUUACAAGUGGUUUGGGGGGUGGUUUAACCCUCCCUUCCCCCAACCCCAAAUAUGCUGAAUAACAUCAGGAAACUACAGUGAUUUAAUGUUUUUUAAUGCUGUCAUAGAUCCUUUAUGUCAUUUUUCUUAUUACUGUUAGGCAAAUUCAGAAUGAAACUUUUCUAAAAAGUUGUACAAUAGGCCUUUCUAAAUAAUAAUGCUACCUUAAUUGUUAGUGUGCAGCUCAACAAAUCUGAAACUUCGGCAUCCCCCAGAGGAACUGAGUGCUACUAAGUUUUCACAUCCUUUUUCAAAACAAUAGAUGAGGUAAGAAUUUGAAAAUUCAUAGUUUGUGGCCAGGUGCGUUGGCUCACACCUGUAAUCCCAGCACUUUGGGAGGCUGAGGUGGGCGGAUCACGAGGUCAAGAGAUCAAGACCAUCCUGGCCAACAUGGUGAAACCUUGUCUCUACAAAAAAAAAAAAAAAAAAAUUAGCUGGGCAUGGUGGUAAGCACCUGUAGUCCUAGCCAGGACUACUUACGAGGCUGAGGCAGGAACAUUACUUGUACCCGGGAGGCAGAGGUUGCAGUGAGCCGAGAUUGUGCCACUGCACUCCAUCCUUGUGCCUGGCAACAGAGCAAGACUCUGUCAAAAAAAAAAAAAAAAAAGAAAGAAAAUUCAUAGUUUGUUUCAAUAUGAAUAAAAUUUGUCCCAUUUUAAAGUUGUGUUUUUUUUAAUGAAAAUCUUAGGUAUAUCAUUUCCUUUUUUCUCUCCUCAUGUCAAACUUUUAAUGUCUAAGAAAGGAAAUACUAGAACUUUUAACUUGGUUAAAAAACAGUAACAUCUUAAGUGUGAUAAGCCAAAGAGAAAGGUCUCUAUGUUUGGCAAAAUCACAUUCCCCGGAGAUUUACUAAACAGCAACAGCACUGUUAACCAGUGUCAGCUGAGACAUUAUUUAUGUCCUUCUUGUUCCACUAAAACUAUUGAAGAAGUUGUAAUGCUACAUAGUCCUCAUGAAGGAUUCUUUUCCUCACUGCUUAGAUUAGCUAACACAACCUGAAUAUCAGAGUUUGAGACUUUGACUUCUGCUGGAUCUGUUGCUGCUCUGCUGUAUGAUCUCCAACAAAUCAAAUUUCUUUCUGUCCUCAUUUACUGGUCAGUGGCACCUAGGAAUAAAUUGACAUUUACUGUUAGAUUAUAAAUAAACUGCUUUGAGGUAGUUGGCAAAACCAAGAUACAAUGUAUGAAUACUAGUGUUGUAGUUAACGUUACUGUGUAGUUAACUUCCAUUUUCAAAAUAAUGCAUUUUUGUAGCAUCCUUGUCCUUUUAGUCUGUUUUAAAGCAGCAUUUGACAGUCUUUGUUUUUCUAAUUUUUCUCCAUUUUGCUGUUAUAAGAUCAUAAUAUUAUAAAUUUAUUAAAGAGGGGAAUUGUUGUCAUAUUCUUGAAACAUCCUUUUAGAAUUCUUUUAAUAAACUGAAGAAAGGAAUUGUAUCUGUUUUAAAAGACCAACCUUAAAACAAACCUCUUUAGAGAAUGAAAGCUAAUUAAUAUGUUUUACUAUGACUUAACUUGGAAAGAUGGCAGUAAAGUUUUUGAAUUUGCAUGCUACACUGGCAAUUGGUUCUAAUAACUAAAUAUACAAUUGAUUGGAACCACUAUUUAUGUAUUUAAUUAUUAUUUAAUAAAAAUGGGUCCAGGGACAGUGACUCAUGCCUAUAGACCCAGCACUCUGGGAGGUCGAGGUGAGCAGAUCAUGUGAGCCCAGGAGUUUGAGAGCAGCCUGGGCAACACGGCAAAAACCCAUCUCUACAGAAAAUACAAAAAUUAUCCUGGUGUGGUGGCAGGUAUGUCUGGUCCCAGCUACUUGGAAAGCUGAAGUGAGAGAAUCGCUUAAACCCACAAGGCAGAGGUUUCAGUGAUCUGAGAUGACACCAUUGCACUUCAGCCUGGGCGAGAGUGAGACCCCUGUCUCAAAAAAGAAAAAUGAGAAACUUAUUAUUUAAGACAGGUUUUAAUCAAUCACCUCAUGUGAAGUGGCGAAGGUUUUAUCAUCAGUGUGUUCUAAGAUAAUUUAUCUGGUGUGAAAUGACUUGGAAGAAAGUACUUCUUUUCAGGUAUCUGUUUACCAACCACUUUGAGUAAGCUUUUGUAUUUUACUCAUCUUCUGGAAACAACAUUGUUCUGCCAGACAUUUGGUCUGAAUGUGUGAUUUUAUAAUUCAGAGUAAUAUUUAUUUCUUUGUUCUCCUGAGAAUGGAUAUUUUAUGCAUGUUUCCCUCCUAGUCUCUGCUUGAAAGGUACAGGAGAUAACUAGAUUUUAUUAGUAUAUUUUUACAAGUCUAUUUAAAAUGCUUUCAAAUUAUUCGGUGGUAUUCUGAUUGAAAAUGGAAGGGGUUGCUAGAGGUUUUAUCAAGAAUAGAUACACUGGUGGCUCACGCCUAUAAUCCCAGCACUUUGGGAGGCCAAGGUGAGCAUAUCACAUGAGGUCAGGAGUUUAAGACCAGCCUGGCUGGCGUGGCGAAACCCCAUCACUGCUAAAAAUACAAAAAUUAGCCUGGUGUGGUGAUUCAUGCCUGUAAUCCCAGCUACUUGGGAGGCUGAAGCACGAGAAUCAUUUGAACCCGGGAGGCGGAGGUUGCAGUAAGCCAGGAUCAUACCACUGCAUUCCAGCCUGGGUGACAGAGUGAGACUGGGUCUCCAAAAAAAAAAAAAAGAAUAGAUACACUAUAUAUUUUAAUUUAUUGGCAUGUAAGCUAGAUUUUCCUAUUUUCAUUACAUGGCUGUAUGCAUAUGAAUCACCAGUGACUACUAACUUUUUCAAUAUAUAUGUAAAAUGUUUUAAAUUAUAUUUUUGUAGUAAUAUUUUAUAAAGCAUUGAUUUUGUUAUAUUUUUAAAUUUCUCAUACUUUAAACAAAACAGAUUUAAACAACUUCAAAGAGUUUGGAAAUAGCCAUUAUAAACAGUCUUUUAACUGAAGUUUUAUUUUUACUAAUCAUUUAAGUUGUGUUGUUCUUAUACAUAUUUAGGUUUUGAAAUUUUUAUAAAGGUCUAGGCGGGGUGCAGUGGCUCACGCCUGUAAUCCCAGCACUUUGGGAGGCCAAGGUUGGUGGAUUACCUGAAGUCAGGAGUUUUAGAUCAGCCUAGCCAACAUGGUGAAACCCCAUCUCUAUUAAAAAUACAAAAAUUAGCCAGGCGUGGUGGCAUAUGCCUGUAAUCCCAGCCACUUGGGAGGCUGAAGCAGGAGAAUCACUUGAACUCAGAAGGCGGAGGUUGUGGUGAGCUGAGAUCAUGGCCAUUGCACUCCAUCCUGGGUAACAGAGUGAGACUACAUCUCAAGAAAAAAAAAAAAAUAUAUAUAUAUAUAUAUAUAUAUAUAAAGGUCUUAAUAUCUUAAAAGUAUGAAGAGAAAUUUUCAUAGAAACAUCUUAAGGGAAACGGAUAAAAAUAAUGUUCACUUUGGGAGAAGACUUGCCAUGUGUAUGAUUGUAUACCACAAUCCUAUGAUUAGGCUAGUUAGAGGAAAAAAAAAAACCCAUAGAGUUUGUAAUCCUAGGUAUGUCAGAAACAGCUGCAACCUUUUUAAAAAACUACUUGGGUCUGAAAAGAAUUGAUUGUUGCUUUUUCAUAUUUUUCCUAAUGUUCUACUAUAUCCUCUUAAUAAAAUACAUAUUAUUGUUAGAUUUUAAAUAUUCUGACUUUUAAUGCUUGUAAUGAAAUUUUAUUAGUAUUCUUGGCUGACUUAUUUUGGCUCUUGUCUCCUACAUUUGCAACCAAAUUAUACUUUAUAUGCUAGACAAGGUUUAUGCCAGCCUAAUUGGUUGCUGGCAUUUCUUAGCCUCACAGCUGCUGUGAACUCAGCUGCGAACUGGAAAACAUAUAAUAGGACCCUGUUUUCAGAGACCAAAAGGCAAUUGUCAACAUGUAAAACUUGUUUUUGACAGCUCAAUGAAUAUAUGAGCUUUUAUGACAAAUUAAAUAGCACUAAUACCAGAUCUUAAGUAAUUAUCUUAAAGAUUAGAAAGUCUUGAAAUAUGAAUUUAUUCACUGAAGCAAAGAUGGCUUAGAUUUGCAUGUAUGUUCUGUUCAGUCAUUUGUGGCUUUUUUUUCUUUUUAAAAAUCAUGUGUCUUGAUAUUUACCAACAGAUAUUAAAAAGUUGAGAUCUUAACUGUUUGCCCUGAAAUUUCACCCUAACAAAAAAUUGAGCCUUAAGUGAGGUAAAGAUAUUUCUUAAAAUGAACUAAACAUAAAAUGACUUUGAUUAAAGAUUAUAUUUCAAAACAUUUAUUAUGUUUAUAUUCUUUGAUGUAGCAGAUUUUAUUUUCAUAAAUUUUUAACAUCUAAGUUUGGGGUGAACAUUACUUUUGUAUUACAUUGAACCAUAUGAAAUUGUCAUUUUUUUUAGGUCAAAUGGUUGAAUGUAGACUAAUGGGAAAAAAAUGACAGUAUAUCAACGUGAACUCCCUAACCAAGUUCAGAAAUGUAACCACUGUGAUUUACCUUUGUAUAAGUAGAACAUCAUCAUGUAUGAUCAAUAAACAAUGAGAUUAACAAAUCAGAUUUAUAUAUAGUAAAUGUUUUUUCCAUUAUAAUUGCUUUUUUGCCCAUUUCUAUUAUAAAUGUUUUCUUCAACAUUUAAAAAAUGUUUAGGGACUCUUAGCACUAAGCCAAAGAAGGACUAAACAAAUAUAUGAGAGGCUGUAGAAAUAUAUUAAGGACAAGCAAACUGUUAGUAAAUGGCUUAUACUGAAUAUAAUAAAAGCAUCAUCCUUUGCCUACAUUUUGUAUUACUUUGAUACUUGGCAUGAUUAUUUAUGUCUAUUGUGAUUCUAACAGUCUAUUGAUUAUAUUUGGAAUGUAACUCCAAACUUUUCUUGCAUAUUCUUUUAUUUAAAAUGCUAAAUAUAAAUCUUUCCUUACAUAAAUAUUGGCCAGAAAUAUCUUGCAUUGUGAGAAAAGUACGUUUUUAGGAAGUUUUGGUAUUAAAAUCCAAGAGGCCUUCUAUUGGGAAAAUAAUGAUUGGGGAGCUAUUCUGCAGGGUUUGCCUGUACUUUCCAAUACUGUGAGGCUGAGGUGGCAGUGGCUACUGCUGGAGUAGGAUGCUGGGAGGUGUUGAGAGAGGAACAGUGGCUUGUACUGGGGAAGGAGGAAGAUGUCAGGAAGGAACAGAGGAGGAAGAUGGCGACAUCAGGGGCAGGGGCAAAUGAGCCUUGUUUGGCCACAGCAUUGGCUUCCAAUCUUUGCAAGUUUAGUGAGAUCAUGCUGCAGAAGCAGCAUCAGGCUGAGGACACAGCAGCCCUCGAGGAGAUGUUAAUGGACAUCGGCUUCACCCAGUUACACAGGAUUGCAAUUGCCAUACACGUGGGGCUCCCAUUAUGGUUGUUCUUUGCCUAAUAUUAACCAGAUUCGUUUCAGCCUGGCCUAGUUCCAGAGCCCCCUCCACUCACCUUUUAAUUUAUCUCAAGACACUCGGCACCACAGACUGGUAGAACGGGUACAUCCAGAUCCUCACAGAAUGGUUGUCCCUACCCUGCCAAUACCCUACCACAUUGACAGCUCUCCCUAUAGUCCUGCCUACUUAUCCCCUCCCCAAGUGUCCAGCUGGUGAAGGACUAUGUCCUGGGACAAUUUCCCUGCAGAGAAGAGGUACUUAUUGUACCUAGCAUCUGCAUUUAACAAGACAAGCUCUGAUUUUGCCUUUCACACAAGUGUGAUUAACCCCAGUCCCCAGGAUACUUAUCCAGGCCCCAUACCUCCCAGCAACCUGCCCAAUCAACAUUUCUGGGUGGUAAAAUGGACUCUAAAGUACCUGCUGUUGAGAAGUUCUCCUAGGUGACAAGCAUUUGCUGAAGCCAUGGGAUACUUAGAAGCUUUCUUCAUCUUCCUCCUAACCCCGGUCCUUAUGAAGUCCCUGGAAUUAACAUCUUUCCAUCUCCUGGCCAGCCUGCCAAUGUGCCUGUCCUCCCACCUGUCAUGAAUACUGGACGUGGGAUGAGGUUCCUACCUGAUCUCACCAAUUUGCACUUUCUACCAACACUGCCCACCCCCCUGCACCCUGAGGAGACAGCCCACCCUAGCCUUAAUAGGGGCAACAGUACCUCCAAUUUGACCCACAUCGUGACUCACCUGGGCAUUAGCGAGGGCCUGGGCAUGGACUUGGGCCCAGGUUAUGAUGCCCCAGGACUUCAUUCACCUCUCAACCACCCAUCCCUGCAGUCUUCCCUAAGCAAUCCCUGAGCAGUCCUCAGCCCCAUCUUCAGGGCUCCCAUAGCCACCCCUCACUACCUGCCUUCUCCUUGGCCCACCAUGCACUGCCCACAACCUUCCUGGGCCACCCCUCACUCAGUGCUGCCCUGACUCUCCUCCUUUCAUCCCCCACUUCAUUUUCAAUCUGCCCCUACCUCGCCCAACUUCUACUCUUGGGGCCUCCCGGCACUGUUUCCAAGUACCCCUCAGCCCCCUAAGUUUGCCCGCAGGUCCUGCCAAUGCCAGAAGGUCCCAAUAGCAGCUGCCCAAACAGUUUUUGCCAAUGUCACCUACUUUGUCUUCCAUCACUCAGGGUGUCCCCCUGGAGACCAGUAAUCUGCACACCUAGUCACAUACUCCAAAGUCUCUACAGCAGUGAGAGCUGCCCUCUCAGGCCUGCUCAGUGCAGCCCUCAGGUGGGCGGCCUCUGGGCCGGCAAUUGCAUUAUGGGACAUUACCCACCUCGGCCCACUGGGCUAGGGAAAGUCUUCACUGGACAAUAAGUGACUUCACCCUAGGGAACUGGAGCAGUUCAGCAUAGAGAGCCCAUAAACCAGUCUAGUGAUGGAUCCCCCUGGCUUUUCUGAAGGGCUUGGAUUUUUAGAAGGUGAGGGGCCAGUAGCUGGUCCUCAGGAUCCUCAUACCCUCAACCACCAGAACUUGACCCAUCACUGCUCCUACUAUAACUCAAAGCCUAACGUCAUCCUUAUUGAAACUCUCCAGGUUUCUCUAAGGAGAUUGCAGCCACCCUGGCUGGAGUGCCUGGCUUUGAGGUAUCAGUAGCAGGUUGGAGUUGGGGCUAGGGCUGUAAGAUGAGCUGUGCAUGGAGCUACUGAUUCUGGAAGGGCUAAACAUGCUGAGUGACCCAGUGCCCUGCUACCCUGUUGUGCUCUGGAAUAUUCAUCACCAUCUCUCUUCUUGGCCCUGUCCCCCAUUACUGUCCAUGUCCUCCCUUACCCCAGCUAAUAGAGACUCCAGUCUGCCCCCAGAUUCUCCUUGUAGCAUGAACAAAGGAUCCCAAGAAUGAGAAAAAGCAAGGGGUUUUUCCAGGUGGCCCCUGAAUUCCAUACAUGGGUGGGCCUGGAGAAGCUCAAGGGAGGGCCAAAAGCACUUGUAACUUUGAACCAACUCCCUGGAGGUCAGAGCCUAUUGGAAAGCUGGGGAUAUAGAGGGUAACCUGGGAGGGUAACCUAGGACUCCUGGCUUGUCCAGAUUCCUAGGAGUGGACAUUGCCAGCCCCUCCUCACCACCCUUUUCCCUCUCAAUGGAGGAGAGAGCCACAGUGGAUAUUAUUUUUAAUUAAAUGUAUGUUACUAAAAAAAUCAUUCCAAAAAACUCUUUGCAAGUUUUUUUUUAACUUUACCCCCAACAGAUGACAUUUUCUACACUAAUUUAUCUUUACAACUAGAUUAAAAUGAAAUGGAAAACUUUUAAAUAUGUCUCUGUGUUUUAAGUGUUAAAAAGCUGGCCAGGCACGGUGACUCAUGCCUAUAAUCCCAGCACUUUGGGAGGCCGAGGUGGGUGGAUCACAAGGUCAGGAGUUCGAGACCAGCCUGGCCAACAUGGUGAAACUCCAUCUCUACUAAAGAUAUAAAAAAUUAGCUGGGCAUGGUGGUGCAUGCCUGUAAUCCCAGCUACUUGGGAGCCUGAGUCAGGAGAAUCGCUUGAACCAGGAGGCAGAGGUUGCAGUGAGCCAUUGCACUCUAGCCUGGGCAACAGGGGGAAACUCUGUCUCAAAAAAAAAAAAAAAAGCCAUAGAAUUUUGAAAUUAUGUUACUUUUUAAAAUGGUGGUAUUGAUUUUAUAUAACAAUGUAAACUUAGAAUUUUCAAAUCUGACCUCAUUUUCUGUGAAUCUGACCUAUGACUUAAAGAAAGUUCAUGUAAUGGCACCCUCCUAUCCCAAACAGUAAAAGGAAACCAAAAAGGCCUACACAGCUGAGCUCAAAAACAAGAUCAUGGAUUGUAAAGGAACAGGAAUUCUAAGAGAUGGGUAGGGCUGAAGUAGACAUAGAUGGCAAAAGUUUGAUUCCUGUAGGAUGAUGCAAGAGAAAGAGACUUUAAAAAAGGAGAAUUGGAGUCAGGUUCACUGUUUGAAGACAAGGACUUGUGUGACUUCUCUUAAAUGCUGUUUUUAAAAUUGCUGCUGAUUUGCACCUGGAGCUAGAUUUAUAAGAAAUUUUUUCAUCAAGGCAGGCAGUCCAGUACAGUUAUGGUAGAAAUACAGGGGUAUUCAGCCACUGUGCACUGGGAAAGUGGUACCAAUUAUUGUGGCUCUGUCUUUUCUGCUUGGUCAGGUGUCUCACCUUUAGAAAUCAUUAACAGGAUACGCAGAAAGCUUCCAUAUCUGGAAUUUGAGAAACAUUUCUAAAUAACUCAUGAGACAAAGAAUCAUGAAAAUAGAAAAACAGGUGGAACUGAACAAUAACAAAAAUACUACAUGUAAAAACUUGUAAGAUGCUGCUAAAGCAGUUCUGGGAAAUAAAUGUGUAGCUUUAGCCGCUCAUGAAGAAAAAAGAAUAAAGAUGAUGAAUGACUUAAACAUUCAUCCGAAGAAUUUAAAGGGAAAAAACAGUAAAAUAUGCCCAAAGUAAGUUGAAAGAAAGAAGUAAUAGUAGCAGAAAUUACGUACAUAAUGACACCUAAUAAAAAGGCUCAACAGGCUGGGCGCGGUGGCUCAAGCCUGUAAUCCCAGCACUUUGGGGUGCCGAGGUGGGUGGAUCACUAGGUCAACAGAUCGAGACCAUCUUGGUCAACAUGGUGAAACCCCGUCUCUACUAAAAUUACAAAAAAUUAGCUGGGCACUGUGGUGCGUGCCUGUAAUCCCAGCUGCUUGGGAGGCUGAGGCAGGAGAAUUGCCUGAACCCAGGAGGCGGAGAUUGCGGUGAGCCGAGAUCUCGCCAUUGCACUCCCGCCUGGGUAACAAGAGCGAAACUCCGUCUCAAAAAAAAAAAAAAGGCUCAACAAAGCCAGGUUUAUUCUUGGAAAAGACAAAUAAAAUGGACAAAUCCCAGUUGAAAUUAUUUAAGAGAAAAAAGUUUACUAAAAAAUUAGGAAUGAAAAUGUGGACAUCAUAUCAGAUGCCAGAGCCAUUAAACAGAUACUAUGAACUUGGUGCCAAAAAUGUGGAAACCUUAUCUAAAACAUCUAGAACAAUAUAAUUAUGAAAAGAAGAAUAAAAAAUAAUUAUCUAAUUAUUAAGGAAAUUGGAUCUUUCUAUAAUAACGCAAACCAAGAUGGUUUAACAAGUUUUUGCCUACCAAAUACUCAAGAGUCAAAUAAUUUAAUUUCACACCAACUAUUCUAGAGUACAGAAAGGGAGAGCUUUGCCACAGAAAAUCAUUUUAUAAGAUUAAUAUAACCAGCUGGGCGUGGUGGUUCAUGCCUAUAAUCCCAGCACAUUGGGAGGCUGAGGUGGGCGGAUCACCUAAGGUCGGGAGUUCCAGACCAGUCUGACCAAUAUGGCAAAACCCCAUCUCUAUUAAAAAUAAAAAAUUAGCCAGGUGUGGUGGCAUGUGCCUGUAAUCCCAGCUAUUCGGGAGGCUGAGGCAGGAGAGAAUUGCUUGAACCUGGGAGGCGGAGGUUGCAGUGAGCCGAGAUCUCACCAUUGCACUCCAGCCUCAGCGAUAGAAGGAGACUGUCUCAAAAAAAAAAAGAUUAUUAUAACCAUGAUACCAAAAUCUAAUAAGGUUGUUGAGAUGCUGGGCACAGUGGUUUACACCUGUAAUUCCAGCACUUUGAGAGGCUGAUACAGGGUAAUAGUUUGAGACCAGAAGUUCAAGACCAGCCUGGUCAACAUAGCAAGACCCCAUCUCUACAAAAAAUUAGCCAGGCAUGGUAGUGCAUGCCAAUAAUCCUUGCUACUCAGCAGGCUUAAGCAGGAGGAUCACAUGAGGCUGCAGUGAGCCAUGAUCACACCACCAUACUUAAGCCUGGGCACAGAGUGAGAUUCCCAAACUCUUAAAAAAGUGGUUUUGAGAAAGGAAAACCGCUGGCCAGUUUCAUAUCAUUGAUUAAUGAUGUGAAAAUCUAGAAUAUCAUAGCUGGAAGGUAUAAAGAAAAAAAAUAAUCCUGAACAAAACAGACAAUGCCGUUCUAGUCAGAAUCCCAACAGGUAGUUUUGUGAUUGUUGGUUUAUAUGACUUUUUGGAACUUCACAAGCUGAUUGUAAAGUUUAUACUUUAGAAUUCCUUAAGAAUACUCUUAAGGAACAAUGAAGCAGGAGGGCUUAUUCUGCUAUAUGGCAAGACUUAAUAAUAAUAAGCAAAGCUAUAAUACUAAAUACUUUUAGUUCAGGGAUAAAGAAAUAAACUCAUGCAUGUAGGCUUGAAUUGUGACACAGGUAGUAUUGCAGAUAAGUAGAGGGAAAGGGGAUUUUCAGGAUAUGGUCCUAAAAAGGAAAUUGUGUUAUCAUACAAAAAUAUCAAAAUGCCAAUGGAUUAAGGUCCCAAAUGUGAAAGGUUUUGUAAAAGUUUAUGUAUUUGAGAUGGAAUCUCACUGUCACCCAGACUUGAUUGCAGUGGCGAGAUCUUGGCUCACUGCAACCUCUGCCUCUUAGGCUCAAGCAAUUCUCCUGUCUCAGCCUCCCAAGUAGCUGGGAUUAUGGACACUCAUCACCACACCCGGCUAAUUUUUUGAAUUUUUGUAGAGUUGGGAUUUCACCAUGUUGGCCAGCCUGGUCUCAAACUCCUGAUCUCAAGUGAUCCACCCACCUCGGCCUCCCAAAGUGCUGGGAUUACAGGCCUGAGGCACCAUACCCAGCUUGUAAAACUUAGAAAGUGUAAGAGACUGUUUUAGGGAUCUCAGUCUUAGGAAAAAUUUUAUAACACACCAAAAAAAAAAAUCCAUAGUGGAAAAACACAUAUUUGACUACAUUAAAAUUAAGAAUUUAGGCCAGGUGUGGUGGCUCACACCUGUAAUCCCAACACUUUGGGAGGUUGAGAUGGCGGAUUGCCUGAGGUCGGGCAUUGGAGACCAGCCUGGCCAAUGUGGUGAUGAAACCAUGUCUCUACUAAAAAUGCAAAAAUUAGCUGGGUGUGGUAGCAGGCGCCUGUAAUCCCAGCUACUCCGGAGGCUGAGGUAGAAGAACUGCUUGAACUCUGGAGACAGAGUUUUCAGUGAGCUGAGAUGGCGCCACUGUAUUCCGGCCUGGGGGACAGAAUGAGACUCUGUCUCAAAAACAAACAAAAAAUUAAGAACCUGAAUUCAUCAAAAGGCACUAUAAAGAACAUGAAAAGAUAAGCCACAACUUUGUAGAAAAGACUUGCCAUACAUACAACAAAAGAUUAAUACCAAGGGUAUAAAGAGAAUUCCUAUAGAGAAUUAGCCAAAAGAAAAAGACCCCAACACUCAAGUCAGUACUCAAAAGGCCUGAAUGGCUAACAAGCACAAAAAUAAGCAUAAACCUCAUUAAAUCAGAGAAAUUAGAACCAUAAUAUGACAUGUUAAAUCUGGCUAAUAUUAAGUGUUUUCAUGAAUCUGGAGUAAUUGUUAGAGGAUUACAGAUCAUUACAGGUACUGUGUGUUAGGCCCAUCUUUCAUUGCUAUAAAGAAAUACUUGAUUCUUUGUAAUUUAUGAAGAAAGGGGUUUAAUUGGCUUGCAGGUCUGCAGCUUUGCAGGAAGCAUGAUACCGGCAUCUGCUCAGCUUCUGGAGAGGCCUCAUGAAGGCUAAGGGGGCGGGGGCAAAAGAGAGGGAGGUGCCACACACUUCUAAACAAUCAGAGAACAGAGCUCACUCUGAGGACAGCAUUCAUCAUCAAGUGGAUGGUGCCAAACCAUUCCUGAGAAAUCCACCCCCAUGAUCCAAUCACCUCCAUCAGGCCCCACCUCCAAUAUAGGGAUUAUGAUUCCGCAUGAGAUUUAGGCAGGGACGAAUAUACAAACUAUCACAUAGCUACUAUAGAUAGGAAACAUGGCACUAAAGAGAAAAGUUUUAUAUAUGUGGACUCAGUUAUUCUGUAUUUUUUCUCAUAUACCUAGAGAAAUUAUUGCACAUUUAUUUCAGUAAACAUAUGUAAGAAUGCCCAUAGCAUCAUUGUUCCUAAUAGCAGAAACAUAACGACUCAAAUGUCCGAUAGUAGAAUAGAUAAAAUGUGAUAUAUUCAUGCAAUAAAAUGCUAUACUGUAAUGAAAAUGAGUUAUAUACAUUUUAUGUGUACAACUUAAGUGAAUCUCAAAAAAUAGUAUUGAGCAAACAAAAAGGAACCCUCAAUUCUUAAAGUAGUGUUAAUCCAUGUAUAUGCAAUUUAAAGAGAAGGAAACUGUUUAGAUUUCUGUGUGUAUGUGUUACAUUUAAAGGUGGUAAAACUCUAAAGAAAAGCCAAAGUAUGAUUAUCUCAAAUGUCAUGGUGGAGGUUACUUUUUUUUUUUGAGAUGGAGUUUUGCUCUUGUCACCCAGGCUGGAGUGCAAUUGUGCAAUCUCAGCUCACUGCAGCCUCUGCCUCCUGGGUUCAAGCAAUUCUUCAGCAUCAGCCUCCCGAGUAGCUGGGAUUCAGGCGCACACCACCAUGCCCGGCUAAGUUCUUGUACUCUUAGUAGAGAUGGGGUUUCAUCAUGUUGGCCAGCCUGGUCUCAAACUCCUGACCUCAGGUGAUUCACCUGGCUGAACCUCCUAAGGUGUUUGUUGAGAUUAUUACAGGUGUGAGCCACUGCGCCUGGCAGUUGUUUCCUUUGGGAGGGGAACAUACAGGGUUUCAAAAGGGUUUUUUAACCUAGCUGGUGAUAGUUACACAGGUGUUUGCUCUAUUUUUUUUUUAAUAUGGAAGUAUAUGUAAUAUAAUUCGCAGUAAAGUAAAUGAUGAAUCAGAGAGUCAAAGGGCAGUGAGUUAGUGAAGAUGGAGUACAGUUUUCUUAGGUGGAUCAGAGAAAUGAGAUGGUAUUUGGAGGUGCACAUGGGAAGACUGCAGUUUCUAGGGAAAGAUAUUUCUAGUCCUGAUUAGUCUUACUGACAUCUAUGCAUGAUCUCUAUUAAUAACAAACACUCAGGCAUCUCAUUGUUUUCCCCCUAGUACCAUCAUUCUCCCAGUCAUCCAGGCUUGACACCUUCUUCUUAUGCCUAUGUUGUCACUGUAUCAUAAUUUUUUCCUUUGAAAAAUUUUUUCAUGUAUCUUAUUGUUUCUCUCAUUACUUAACACCUUUGUUAACAGGUGGUUACUAUUUGACUUUUGAAAUAAAUCAAGAGAUGUAUUUGUUUAAAAGAAAAAAAAUCAAAAUUUUAAAAGAAAAUCAAAUUUGUAUUACAAUUUAAAGAGGUAUUUGAGUAGCUCAAUGAAAUGUCGUAUAUAAGACAAUUAAAAAAAUUAUUAAAGGCAUUUUGGGAAAGGUUGGUUUUUAAAAAGAAAACAACAUUUUUAUAGACAUCUUGUGGUGCAAAUAAAAGCCCCAUGCUGCACUGGUAUUGCAGGUAGUAUAGAUGGUUCUAGUUAUCUGAUUAAUUGGCAAAAAGCAAAUGAUUAAGACUUUGUUUAAUAAUUUCUUAUUGCUGGAAUUUCAUAUUCUCUACUUGUUGUUGGAUGAGUAAACUGGAUUAUGGUAGAGAUAAGGCAACGAAUUUCUCAGUGCUGCCCUGCUCAACCUCUAGAAUUUAGUCUUUAAAGUUUAGUCUUAGAUCAGACACUUUUGACUCUGCAGACUUGUGAUUUAAGGCUUUCUGGAUGUGUGCACUGGUGUUUGAGAUCGUAGAGGUUCCAACGUUGAGGAGACUGCUAAUGCUGGCUGUUCUGUCCUUGAUUUUUUUUUUUUUUUUUUUUUGAGACGGCAUCUUGCUCUUGCCCAAGCUGGAGUGCAGUGGCGUAAUCACGGCUCACUGCAUCCUUAUCUCCUGGACUCAAGGAAUCCUUGUACCUCUCAGCCUCCCAAGUAGCUGGGGCUAUAGGCAGACAGCACCAUGCCCUGUUGAUUUUUAAUUUUUUUUUUGUAGAGUUGAGGUCUUGCUCUGUUGCCAACUUGGUCUCAAACUCCUGGGCUCAAGCCAUCCUCCUACUUCUGCCCCCCCAAAGUACUGGGAUUACAGGUAUGAGGCACUGUGCCCAGCCCCCUUGAUUUCCUUUAUCCUCUCAUUGCCAGUCUCUCCAAACUGUCUUUGGAGAUUAAGGUCCCUAUGAAUUUGUGACCUGUAGUCCUGGUAUUUUGCUCCACUGUCCCACCUUUUCUUUUGCACACCUAGUUAUGGUACAUUAAAUCACUCCUUGCCCAGAAGGGUGGGAAUACCAUGGUAGAUGCCCAACAAAAAGAAUGAUUGUAUUGGUCUUGCCUUUUGGAAUAUGCACGUAUUUUUUCCCCAUUAUCAUAUUGUGGUAACUCUACUGAUAAUUGUAUGGAGAUCCACCUUGGUAACUCUUUUUUUUUUUUCCCAACUAGAUUUGAUAGCUAGGUGUCUUUUUUCUUUAACCUCAACCACAGCCUCUUCAUUUCCUACUGAGGGUUAUUCUUCACAGUAGUCUAAUAUUCAAAUGCAUCUUCCUUAGGCUCAAAUAUCUCCUUCCUUUCUGUUGAUGAAACCAUAUCAAUGUUUUAUUAAACCCUUUUACUUUCUCCAAAACCUUUGUUGCUAUAAUCUUCUUGUCCCUACUAGUGGGUACCAAUGUUUGUGGGGCUGCCAGGGGUGAUUGGGAAAAGGAUGGCUGCCAGGUCUCAGCCUCACUGUUCAUGUUGUAGAGAGGGUGAUUGAUGAAGGGCUUGAUGCAGCAGUGGUAGGCUCCUCCCAGAUUGUGAUGGUGACUGGGCUGCUUAUGACUCUCUGGGGUCCACUCUUCAUUUCUACUACCAGUUAAACUCAUCCUCUUUUUCAUAUGCUAUGACGACCAUGCAGAUACACUGCUUAGAUGUCUCUCUAAGAAAUAAUUUCAGUUUCAGGGAGUGUAGUUAGCUGACAAUCUCCGGUUGUUAGUACCUUCAGGAUCUUUAGAUUUGGGAUUGAGAACUUGAAUUUCCUGAGAAAUCCACAUCCAAUGAUAGAGCAUGGCCUGGGUAAGGACUCCUGUAAUGGACAGUCUUGCUCUAAAGCACCCUACUGGGUUGACCAAGACUUUGCUAGAUCUUUGUCAAGGUCUGAAGCUUUCUCUGCUCAGUCCUGCUUCACAGCCACUUCCUUCCUAGGUUUUAAAUCUGUAUCAUGGUCUGAAAGUUUUCCUUUUUUAAUUUUAAUUUUUAAUUUAAUUUUGUUUUGAAGCAGAGUCUCACUUGGUUGCCCAGGCCAGAGUGCAGUGGAGCAAUCUGUUCACUGCAACCUCCGCCUCCUGAGUUUAAGUGAUUCUCCCGCUUCAGCCUCCGAAGUAGCUGGGAUUACAGGCGCAUACCACCACACUCAGAUAAUUUUUGUAUUUUUAGUAGAGAUGGGGUUUCACCAUAUUGGCCAGGCUGGUCUCAAACUCCUGACCUCAAGUGAUCUGCCCACCUUGGCCUCCCGAAAUGCUGGGAUUACAGGCAUGAGCUACUGCGCCUGACCUGGUCUGAAAGUUUUCUGUGCCCAGUCCUCUUUCCUCCCUCUUUUAUCUUGAACAAUAAACCUCUUGUACUCCUAACUCUCGUCUGCUUCUCAAAGGACCCCACAUGACACAUACUGCUUCCACUGGUUAUUUACCACCUAAUUGAUUUCUAAAAUUGAAGUAAGGAUUAUCUGAUUUCCCUUUUGUAACUCCUUUUGACUCCUCCCAGUAUUUUUUAGAUCAUCAUUUUCCUCCAUCCCUAGCACCUGCAUAUCCUCUGAUGUCCAUCUAUAUUAGUAAAAAGCACCACUGUUUACUCAGUUGCUUUUACAUCUUUCACAUUUAAGUUUAUGACCCAUCUUUUAUGGGUGCAGGGAGAAUGGAGGUGGUAUUUUGUAAGACAGGAAUCAGACAAUUAAAAAGGAGUUAUUCUAGUGAGGGACGAAGGAGGUCACAGGUAAUGCAGGUCAGAUCAUGUAGGGCUUUGUUAUAAGUCAUUAAUAGACCGUUGAAGGGACUUUAGCUUCUACUCUGUGUGAGAUGGAAUGGGGAGUCAUUGGAAGGUUUUGAGCAAAGGAGUAAUAUCUGACUUAGUUUUUACCGGGAACAUUUUGGCUGCUCUGGAGAAUAGACAGAGAGCAGAUACGUUGGAAGCAGGAAGACUAGUUGGGAGAGUAUCACAGUAAACUAAGUACAAGGCAUUGGUAGCUUGCACCAAGGUGAUAGCAGUAUAGUUGUUAAGAAUUGGCUUAUUAUCUGGGGGCAAGUCUCAAGCAGGGUCAUUUUAUUUUGUAAAAGCUCCCUAGGAGUUCCUGGUAAACAUGAGGGUUGAGAAUUUGUGCUACAUUUUAUAAAUUUUUAUAGGAAUGCCUGGACUUAAAGAUAUGUAGACAUCUUCAUCAGCUUAAUUGAAGUGGUUAGAGAAGCAUAAUGAUUAAUGGCAAGUACUUUUAAAUCUGACCAAGGUUUAGAUCCAUGCUACUUACUCACUUUGUAACCUUGAGUUUUAUUUUUCUCAUCUUUAAAUACAGAUACCUAUGUUGUAGGUAUAUUUGUUAUUAAGUGAACUAAUAUGAAUUAAAUGAGCUAGUAUCUGACAUAUGCAUGCUUAAAAAGUAGUAGCUUAGAAAAAUCUGACACAUGAAAUGAUAAAAAUUUUAGGAUUGAUAAUGUUCAGUGUUGAUGAGGAUGUGGAGGAAUAGGUCCCACUGUUGGUGAGAAUGUGUAUGAAGAGCGGUUUAGGAAUAUUUAUCAAAAUGUUAACAUUAAUGACCCACGAAUUCUCCUAGAAAUUUUAUUUGUGGAAACAUUCACACCUACAUUCAGAUAUUCAGUGUGGUAUCUUUUAAUGGCAAACAGUUGGAAAUAAUAUUCCUAAUAAAGGAAUAAAUUGUGAUAUAUUGAUUUAUGGAAUGCUAUAUGGUUAUGAAAAAUAAUAGGUAGGUCUAUAUAUACUGUCAUGGAAAGACCACUAGUAUAUAUUUUAGUUUAGUUUUUUUUUUUUUAAAGUAGCACCAAUGUAUCAUUUGAUGGUACUUAACAUCCUCACUAUUUGAAAUCUACAAGAUUAUGUUCAUUUAUCACUUACAUGGAAUUUUAUAUGAGCUCAUAUAAAAAAGGUAGGCCACAAGACCAGGCAUGGUGACUCAUGCCUAUAGUCCCAGUACUUUUGGAGACAGAGAUGGGCAGAUCGCUUAAGGCCAGGAGUUUGAAACCAGCCUGGCCAACAUGGACAAACCCUGUCCUCUACUAAAAAUACAAAAUUUAGCCAGGGCCGGGCAUGGUGGCUCACACCUGUAAUCCCAGCACUUUGGGAGGCUGAGGAGGGCAGAUCACUUGAGGUCAAGAGUUCAAGACCAGCCUGAUCAACAUGGCAAAACCCUGUCUGUACCAAAAAUACAAAAAUUAGCUGGGCGUGGUGGCACAUGCCUGUAAUUCCAGCUGCUUGGGAAGCCGAAGCAGGAGAAUUGCUUGAAUGGGAGGCAGCAGUUGCGAUAAGCUGAAAUGGCUCCACGGCACUCCAUUCUCAGUGACAGAGCAAGACUGUCUCAAAAACAAACAAACAAAAAAAAAAAAACAGCCAGGCAUGGUGGUGCACGCCUGUAAUACCAGCUGUUACUCGGGAAGCUGAGGCAAGAGCAUUGCUUGAGACUCUGUCUUAAAAACAAAAAGAGAAAAAAGAAAAGGUAGGCCGGGCACAGUGACUCAAGCCUAUAAUCUCAGCACUUUGGCAGGCCAAGGCAAGUGGAUUACCUGAGCCCAGGAGUUUGAGACUAGCUUGGGCAACAUAGCGAGACCCUGUCUCUAUUAUAAAAUAAAAUAAAAUACUCUCAGUGAGAGUAAUUUCCAUAAACAAUAAUUACCAAAUUAUUACAGUGCCCAUAUUUUCUUUAACAGUAUCAUAAGCCUCAUUAUAAUAACACUGUUUUAGGUACUAUAUAUCUGUUUUUAGACAUUUAAAGAGCUAUACAUUAUCGUAAGGUAAAUCAUAGAUGCCCUCAAGGAUUUCAUUUAGGAAAUACAUACCAAAAUUCCAUAUGUUCAGCAUUCUAUUAGGAAAUAUUGAAGAUGCAAAUAUAUUGUAUAGUUUCUGUCUGUACUUAACUAAUAACCAAAUGAAUAGGUAAGAUGAAACAGAUGAAAUAAAUUUUUUAAAAGUAUUUAAUAUAUGUAUAUAUUCUGUUGGUGUGCUUCUAGGAAUUUGUCCUAGGCAAAUAAUCCAACAAGUACAUAAUGACAAAUAUAAUAUAGUAUUCGUUGCAGUGUUUAUAAUAAUAAUAAAUUGCACAUAACCUAAGUGACCAUCAAUAGGUAUUAAAUAACUUAUGAUAAACAUAAUGAAAUAUGUAGUAAUUAAAAAUAAUUAUUUAGAUCUACAGUUAUUAACAGAUAAAACCUACAGUCUACUAAGAGGGGAAAAUAAAUUUAAUAUAUUAUGUAUAAUAUCGUCUCUCUACAGAUGGUAAGACUGGAAUAGUCAGGAAAAGCAAGGAAUAGAAUAGAUUUGGAUAGAUAGCAUAUAUAAGAGGACAUUUUAAAUUAGCAUUUCCUAACCUUUUUGAACUCAGAUUUCUUAAUUUUAAAAUUUUAUCAAUUUGCAUUAUAUAUGGUAAAAAGUGGUUUUUAAGACGUAUUUUAUAUCAGUAUAAUAACUUAAAAUUGCUUUCCAAGCCAGGUGUAGUAGCCCAUGCCUGUAAUCUCAUCACAUUGGGAGGCCAAAGUGGGUGGAUCACUUGAGGCCAGGAUGUUGAUACCAGCCUGUGUAAUGUGGCGAAACCCUGUUUCUACUAAAAAUACAAAAAUUAGCUGGGUGUGGUGGCGCAUGCCUGUAAUCUCAGCUAUUCAGGAGACUGAGGCACAAGAAUCACUUGAACCCAGGAGGCGGAGCUUGCAGUGAGCCACGAUUGCAUCACUGUACUGUCGUCUGGGUGACAGAGCAAGACUGUCUCAGAAAAAAAAAAAGAAAAAAUUUGCUUUAUAAUUGUUCUUCUUUGUUUUACAGAAUCAUUUUUGGCUCAUAGUAAGGAAACUUUCUAAUAAUUAGAACUAUUUAAGAGUUUAAGAUUUCAGGCAUUCUGUGUUACUCUGUGACCAUUUAUCAUAUACGCUGAAAAUAAACUGUAGUUCUCAUGUGAUUUACUGAUUUCCUGGAUUUGACAAGUAGCAAAUUGAUUUAUGGCCCCAUGGACAAAGUUCAUUGCCUGUGCCUGAGGGUGUGUGAAAAUCUCUCAUAAGGAAAGGUAGUGUCUUUUUUUUUUUUUAAUUUGCAAGUUUAGGAAUGCCAUAAUUUGUGACAUUUUUAACGUGUAUGCCCUAUUCCC
Callithrix jacchus (white-tufted-ear marmoset) is the source of this 34769-nucleotide non-coding RNA. NCBI's taxonomy places the organism in Eukaryota, Metazoa, Chordata, Mammalia, Primates, Cebidae. The record is from RefSeq and is a predicted model, not a curated record.